GACGAACGCUGGCGGCGUGCCUAAUACAUGCAAGUUGAGCGCUGAAGGUUGGUACUUGUACCGACUGGAUGAGCAGCGCACGGGUGAGUAACGCGUGGGGAAUCUGCCUUUGAGCGGGGGACAACAUUUGGAAACGAAUGCUAAUACCGCAUAAAAACUUUAAACACAAGUUUUAAGUUUGAAAGAUGCAAUUGCAUCACUCAAAGAUGAUCCCGCGUUGUAUUAGCUAGUUGGUGAGGUAAAGGCUCACCAAGGCGAUGAUACAUAGCCGACCUGAGAGGGUGAUCGGCCAACUUGGGACUGGGACACGGCCCAAAAUCCUACGGGAGGCAGCAGUAGGGAAUCUUCGGCAAUGGACGAAAGUCUGACCGAGCAACGCCGCGGGAGUGAAGAAGGGUUUCGGAUCGUAAAACUCUGUUGGUAGAGAAGAACGUUGGUGAGAGUGGAAAGCUCAUCAAGUGACGGUAACUACACAGAAAGGGACGGCUAACUACGUG
RNAcentral lists this ribosomal RNA (497 nucleotides) under uncultured bacterium. Its description in RNAcentral is "partial 16S ribosomal RNA". It matches the Rfam family "Bacterial small subunit ribosomal RNA", at positions 28 to 507 of the family's 1533-position model. The record is from RNAcentral.